GAUGAACGCUGGCGGCGUGCUUAACACAUGCAAGUCGAACGAUGAAGCCCAGCUUGCUGGGUGGAUUAGUGGCGAACGGGUGAGUAACACGUGAGUAACCUGCCCUUAACUCUGGGAUAAGCCUGGGAAACUAGGUCUAAUACCGGAUAGGAGCGCCUACCGCAUGGUGGGUGUUGGAAAGAUUUAUCGGUUUUGGAUGGACUCGCGGCCUAUCAGCUUGUUGGUGAGGUAAUGGCUCACCAAGGCGACGACGGGUAGCCGGCCUGAGAGGGUGACCGGCCACACUGGGACUGAGACACGGCCCAGACUCCUACGGGAGGCAGCAGUGGGGAAUAUUGCACAAUGGGCGAAAGCCUGAUGCAGCGACGCCGCGUGAGGGAUGACGGCCUUCGNNGGUGUAACCUCUUUCAGUAGGGAAGAAGCGAAAGUGACNGUACCUGCAGAAGAAGCACCGGCUAACUACGUGCCAGCAGCCGCGGGUAUACGUAGGGUGCGAGCGUUAUCCGGAAUUAUUGGGCGUAAAGAGCUCGUAAGCGGUUUGUCGCGUCUGUCGUGAAAUCCGGGACUCCAUCACGGAUCUGCGGUGUGUACGGGCAGACUAGAGUGCACUCUUGGAGACGGGAAUUCCUGGUGUAGCGGCGGAAUGCGCAGAUAUCAGGAGGAACACCGAUGGCGAAGGCAGGUCUCUGGGCUGUAACUGACGCUGAGGAGCGAAAGCAUGGGGAGCGAACAGGAUUAGAUACCCUGGUAGUCCAUGCCGUAAACGUUGGGCACUAGGUGUGGGGACCAUUCCACGGUUUCCGCGCCGCAGCUAACGCAUUAAGUGCCCCGCCUGGGGAGUACGGCCGCAAGGCUAAAACUCAAAGGAAUUGACGGGGGCCCGCACAAGCGGCGGAGCAUGCGGAUUAAUUCGAUGCAACGCGAAGAACCUUACCAAGGCUUGACAUGUUCUCGAUCGCCGUAGAGAUACGGUUUCCCCUUUGGGGCGGGUCCACAGGUGGUGCAUGGUUGUCGUCAGCUCGUGUCGUGAGAUGUUGGGUUAAGUCCCGCAACGAGCGCAACCCUCGUUCCAUGUUGCCAGCACGUAAUGGUGGGGACUCAUGGGAGACUGCCGGGGUCAACUCGGAGGAAGGUGAGGACGACGUCAAAUCAUCAUGCCCCUUAUGUCUUGGGCUUCACGCAUGCUACAAUGGCCGGUACAAUGGGUUGCGAUACUGUGAGGUGGAGCUAAUCCCAAAAAGCCGGUCUCAGUUCGGAUUGGGGUCUGCAACUCGACCCCAUGAAGUCGGAGUCGCUAGUAAUCGCAGAUCAGCAACGCUGCGGUGAAUACGUUCCCGGGCCU
RNAcentral lists this ribosomal RNA (1342 nucleotides) under uncultured bacterium. RNAcentral's name for it is "bacterial SSU rRNA". It matches the Rfam family "Bacterial small subunit ribosomal RNA", at positions 28 to 1381 of the family's 1533-position model. The record is from RNAcentral.